UACGUAGGGUGCAAGCGUUGUCCGGAAUUAUUGGGCGUAAAGCGCGCGCAGGCGGCCUUUUAAGUCUGAUGUGAAAGCCCACGGCUCAACCGUGGAAGGUCAUUGGAAACUGAAAGGCUUGAGUACAGAAGAGGAAAGCGGAAUUCCACGUGUAGCGGUGAAAUGCGUAGAGAUGUGGAGGAACACCAGUGGCGAAGGCGGCUUUCUGGUCUGUAACUGACGCUGAGGCGCGAAAGCGUGGGGAGCAAACAGG
RNAcentral lists this ribosomal RNA (253 nucleotides) under uncultured bacterium. Its description in RNAcentral is "partial 16S ribosomal RNA". It matches the Rfam family "Bacterial small subunit ribosomal RNA", at positions 524 to 776 of the family's 1533-position model. The record is from RNAcentral.